RNAcentral lists this ribosomal RNA (253 nucleotides) under uncultured bacterium. RNAcentral's name for it is "partial 16S ribosomal RNA". It matches the Rfam family "Bacterial small subunit ribosomal RNA", at positions 524 to 776 of the family's 1533-position model. The record is from RNAcentral.
UACGUAGGGGGCAAGCGUUGUCCGGAAUCAUUGGGCGUAAAGCGCGUGUAGGCGGCCCGAUAAGUCCGCUGUGAAAGUCCAGGGCUCAACCCUGGGAUGCCGGUGGAUACUGUCGGGCUCGAGUCCGGAAGAGGCGAGUGGAAUUCCUGGUGUAGCGGUGAAAUGCGCAGAUAUCAGGAGGAACACCGGUGGCGAAGGCGGAUCUCUGGGCCUUACCUGACGCUCAGGUGCGAAAGCUAGGGGAGCGAACAGG